CAGCAGCCACGGGAAUACGAAGGGGGCUAGCGUUGUUCGGAAUUACUGGGCGUAAAGCGCGUGUAAGCGGGUCCUAAGUCAGGGGUGAAAUGCCAAGGCUCAACCUUAGAACUGCCUUUGAUACUGGGGAUCUUGAGUCCGGGAGAGGUGAGUGGAACUGCGAGUGUAGAGGUGAAAUUCGUAGAUAUUCGCAAGAACACCAGUGGCGAAGGCGGCUCACUGGCCCGGAACUGACGCUGAGACGCGAAAGCGUGGGGAGCAAACAGGAUUAGAGACCCCAGUAGUCCCUGUCUCUUAUACA
RNAcentral lists this ribosomal RNA (301 nucleotides) under uncultured bacterium. Its description in RNAcentral is "partial 16S ribosomal RNA". It matches the Rfam family "Bacterial small subunit ribosomal RNA", at positions 509 to 808 of the family's 1533-position model. The record is from RNAcentral.